GCAGGUCAAUGAGCCCCUUGUGCACCUAAAGUUCACCGUGCGAGACGGGGACCGAGGCGUGAUGGAGCCCUUUGCCAUGAGCAUGUCGGCAGAGAAGUUCCGGGUCUUACUGGCAGAGCUGAGACAGGCCCACGCCAUGAUGAAAACUCUCAGCUGAGGAGCCAGGACGACGGCAGCGAGUGUGGAAGGAGCCGGCCAAUUGUGCUGCGGCCCAUUGGAGAGUCUGGAGGGUGCGGUUCCUCCGCUGGGGAAGCCCCUUGCUGCAUACAGCUGCAGACACCGCCUGGGCAGAGGUUGGACUGGGCUCUCUCCUCCUUUCUCAGACCUCUGCAGCUGAAACUGUCGACUGCUCUUCCCACUCUUCCUGGCUACUGUCCCCCCUGCACCCCAUGCAGCUCUCUUGCUGUGAAGCCUCCUGCCUGCCCCUCCUCCAUCCUGCCCACAAGCCCUUGUGCUUCCAGGAGCCCCACCCCAGGAUCCGUCCCCAGAGCAAUGGUGGAUGGGAGCUUGGUAGCUUCUGCAUCUGCUAACGAGAUCUCCACCUUGAGACCAGCUUCAGCUCGGAGUUCCCAUAACAAAGGCGUCCAAACCCAUGGGCCGUGCUACCAUGUAACAGACACGCCUCCGGAGAACACCAGGCCUGCCAGCUAGAGGCUGCUUUAACAGUGAGAGGCCCUGACAUCUCUUGCCCAGCCCUUUGUUGGUGGCACUGUUCCUGAACAGCUGCAGGGAGCUGAUCUGUCUUGCUUCUGCCUGAAUUGUCUCCUGUGCCUACUCCGGGGCAGGCACUUGGGCUCCCAUGUCUCUUCUGGAGACUAGCGUGCAGCAGCCCACCAAAUGCUGCGGCUAGGCCAGCUCCACAUCAUGCGCUGACUGAACUCCUGCAGCAAUCCAGGAUGCCUGUGGCUGGGGCGACUCUGCCAGUCGUACAUAAGAGGUUGGAAAGUUUCAUCAGCCGAAGCGUGAUGGAGUGUUCGCUAGUCCCUUCUUGCUUCCCCGCCUCCCUCCCUUAAAAAGCACUUUGUCUCUAUUCUUUCCACUUCCUUUAAAGGAGCCGCCAACCUGGGGGAUAAAUGCAGCUUUUCUGUCUUUCCUUCCCCCCCAUGCUCCUGCCACCUUUUCCAGGGCAGCUCCGUGCAUGGAAUAAAGGAUCAGCAGGAAUGUGCA
This 1167-nucleotide long non-coding RNA is filed under the name Gopherus agassizii (Agassiz's desert tortoise). RNAcentral describes it as "lncRNA (ENSGAGG00000004362.1)". Lineage: Eukaryota; Metazoa; Chordata; Testudines; Testudinidae. The record is from RNAcentral.